AACGAACGCUGGCGGCAGGCUUAACACAUGCAAGUCGAACGAGAUCUUCGGAUCUAGUGGCAGACGGGUGAGGAACACGUGGGAACAUCCCUUUCAGUUCGGAAUAACGUUGGGAAACUAACGCUAAUACCGGAUACGUCCUUCGGGAGAAAGAUUUAUCUCUGAAAGAUUGGCCCGCGUCUGAUUAGCUAGUUGUUGAGGUAAUGGCUCACCAAGGCUACGAUCAGUAGCUGAUCUGAGAGGAUGAUCAGCCACAUUGGGACUGAGACACGGCCCAAACUCCUACGGGAGGCAGCAGUGGGGAAUAUCGGACAAUGGGCGCAAGCCUGAUCCAGCCAUGCCGCGUGAGUGAUGACGGCCUUCGGGUUGUAAAGCUCUUUUGUCCGGGAAGAUAAUGACUGUACCGGAAGAAUAAGCCCCGGCAAACUUCGUGCCAGCCGCCGCCGUAA
Molecule: ribosomal RNA, 449 nt
Filed under: uncultured bacterium
Lineage: Bacteria
Description: partial 16S ribosomal RNA
Rfam family: Bacterial small subunit ribosomal RNA
Source: RNAcentral